RNAcentral lists this unclassified non-coding RNA (374 nucleotides) under uncultured bacterium. RNAcentral's name for it is "contains 16S-23S intergenic spacer region". The record is from RNAcentral.
UCCGGUUUGACACCGGCAGUCCCUCCAGAGAUCCACUUGCGUGGCAACUGAAGGCGAGGGUUGCGCUCGUUGCGGGACUUAACCCAACAUCUCACGACACGAGCUGACGACAGCCAUGCAGCACCUGUGCACGAUCUCCGAAGAGGGGCCCUCGUUUCUGAGAGCUUGCUCGUGCAUGUCAAGCCUAGGUAAGGUUCUUCGCGUUGCGUCGAAUUAAACCACAUGCUCCACCGCUUGUGCGGGUCCCCGUCAAUUCCUUUAUGUUUUAGUCUUGCGACCGUACUCCACAGGCGGGACGCUUAACGCGUUAGCUUCGCUACAAGAAGGGUCGAUACUUCUUACAGCUAGCGUCCAUAGUUUACGGCGUGGACUAC